RNAcentral lists this ribosomal RNA (430 nucleotides) under Theileria sinensis. Its description in RNAcentral is "SSU rRNA". It matches the Rfam family "Eukaryotic small subunit ribosomal RNA", at positions 453 to 923 of the family's 1831-position model. Lineage: Eukaryota; Apicomplexa; Aconoidasida; Piroplasmida; Theileriidae. The record is from RNAcentral.
GACACAGGGAGGUAGUGACAAGAAAUAACAAUACGGGGCUUAAUGUCUUGUAAUUGGAAUGAUGGGAAUUUAAACCUCUUCCAGAGUAUCAAUUGGAGGGCAAGUCUGGUGCCAGCAGCCGCGGUAAUUCCAGCUCCAAUAGCGUAUAUUAAAAUUGUUGCAGUUAAAAAGCUCGUAGUUGAAUUUCUGCUGCAUCGUCGCAUCUCUUGCUGAGUGCUUCGUUUCGGCUUAUUUCGGAUUGAUUUUUUCUUUCCGGAUGAUUACUUUGAGAAAAUUAGAGUGCUCAAAGCAGGCUUUUGCCUUGAAUAGUUUAGCAUGGAAUAAUAAAGUAGGACUUUGGUUCUAUUUUGUUGGUUUUAGGUACCAAAGUAAUGGUUAAUAGGAACAGUUGGGGGCAUUCGUAUUUAACUGUCAGAGGUGAAAUUCUUAG